UUUAUUAAUCUACAACAGUCUACUCAACAUUCUAAAAUUAGAAAUCACAUACAGUAAUUUACAACCAUAUCAUUAACAGAGGGACAUAUAUCAUUUCUUCCAACAUGUCUCCAUGACUCCACUGUCAAUAUCUGUGUCAAAGAAACUAUAUAUUCAGAGUUUUUUGUUCGGAUUACAAAGCAAAAGAAGAUAAACCAAAAUACAAGUAAACCAAGCCAGUUUGGUCCACCUGACCCUCCUCAAGUGCACAGGAGCCCGCUUUGGUAGUUUUGACAGUGCCUGGCUGCAGAACAGUAGCGAGCUGGCAACGCUGGGCAUGUUCUACAUGAACAAUUUGUACCGGAACGCCAUCUGGCUCAGCUGAUUGAACGCCUUCUGAGAGGCACAACGCCCCAGCUCGUGGCACUAGCUAGAACACCAACAGCAGCGACACGAUGCUCCAAGACAUGGAGGCGCCGCUGCAGCUCUCAGCGAUGUGCAUGACCACGGCAGACAGAACCAUGCCGAUGCCCAUACACUGGAGCGAGGGUCAGGCGUCUAAUAAAGUGGUUCUUUGAAGGAUUUAACCCAAAUAGAGUUUUGUAAAAGUGGUUUCUUGAUCCAAACAAAGAAUUGCAUAACAAAAAAACAACUAAAACUAGUUUUCCUAAAGUUUCUCCUAAAACUGGUUUUCUAAAGACCCAACUUAAAUUCUCCUAAAACUAGUUCUUCCUUUCACAUCAUGCCUUUUCGGUAGCCAUGAGCUGGUGACAAAUAUAGCUCGGAAGCGGGAGAAGCGUGGAUACAUGUUCUACUAAUUUAUUUCAAGUCAUGUUGAUCUCCCCCACAGAUUUCUGAUUUGGCUUUCUUGUUCCACCAGUCCCGCAGAUGCCCUUUCUUGAAGUUCCAGGAUUUGUAUGUUCGUAUGCUCACUUCGGUUCAGACCGCAGGGCACAGGCGCUAGCCGGUGUUCAGCAAGCCAACCAAGCCGCUCAGGUGGUUCCUGACUUGCUGUUGCGAAUCAAAUCAGUUGCCACAUGCACCAACAUAUACAUUUGCUAUGCCAACAACUGCUGGAUCUGUAGGGAUACAAGCAAAAAUAGCACCCUAGCAGGAUGCCAGUAUCUGAAGCAAUUUGUAAAAUAGCACCAUGUCUGCUUAGCUGCAAUCUACUGUAUCAUAACGUCAUGGCGGUUCAGACGAAAAUGUAAGUGAGGAAAUCACCUUUUAGUCCAUCAUGGUGCCUCCGGGUUAACCUUUAAUGUGGAUUGUGCGGACUGAGCCGGGGAAGCAUUCUUC
This 1278-nucleotide long non-coding RNA is filed under the name Triticum aestivum (bread wheat). RNAcentral's name for it is "long non-coding RNA (TAES_LNC017428)". The record is from RNAcentral. Lineage: Eukaryota; Viridiplantae; Streptophyta; Magnoliopsida; Poales; Poaceae.